Melitaea cinxia (Glanville fritillary) is the source of this 102-nucleotide long non-coding RNA. RefSeq lists it as uncharacterized. The record is from RefSeq and is a predicted model, not a curated record. NCBI's taxonomy places the organism in Eukaryota, Metazoa, Arthropoda, Insecta, Lepidoptera, Nymphalidae. The transcript is spliced from 3 exons.
UUAUUGCCUCCACCGGUGACAAGAGGACUGAUGAAUUUUUUGCCCAGAGAAUCAGCAUAGCGAUUCAACGGGAAAAUGCUGCCAGCAUUCCACGAGGACAUG